This 253-nucleotide ribosomal RNA is filed under the name uncultured bacterium. RNAcentral describes it as "partial 16S ribosomal RNA". It matches the Rfam family "Bacterial small subunit ribosomal RNA", at positions 524 to 776 of the family's 1533-position model. The record is from RNAcentral.
UACAGAGGGGGCAAGCGUUGUUCGGAAUUACUGGGCGUAAAGGGCGCGUAGGCGGCCUGCUAAGUCGAACGUGAAAUCCCUGGGCUCAACCCAGGAACUGCGUCCGAUACUGGUUGGCUUGAAUCCGGGAGAGGGAUGUGGAAUUCCAGGUGUAGCGGUGAAAUGCGUAGAUAUCGGAAGGAACAUCAGUGGCGAAAGCGACUUCCUGGACCAAUACUGACGCUCAUGUGCGAAAGCGUGGGGAGCAAACAGG